CACUUUUAUCAUGAGGGAAUUCAUUUCGAAUUACUAGUUUCACUGACACAGAACUGGCUGUUCAUGUUCACUGAGGUUAAAUAUCACUUUGGUUGGAAAGUCUCUUGCAUAAGAUGGAUGAGCUUAGAUGAAAGUCCUACACCUGAAGGAAGACGGUUUCAUUUCAGUUGCCAGAUAAUGAUGUGGCGUCCAAGGAUCAGAAGGACAGGUAUUUUAAGAUAAGAUUGUGUGCAUGAAUGUAUGUCCUUUUGUCCAAAUUUCCUCUAGGUUGCGUCAAAGGUACAGUAGGACAGGUAUGUUAAGAUAAGAUUGUGUGCAUGAAUGUAUGUCUUUUUGUCCAAAUUUCCUCUAGGUGGUGUAAAGGAUAAAAAAGAAAGGUAUGUUAAGAUAAGAUUGUGUGCAUGUUUAAAUGUCUUUUUGUCCAAAUUUCUUCUAGGUGGCUUUGUAAGGACAGGUAUAUUAAGAUAAGAUUGUGUGCAUGAAUGUAUGUCUUUUUGUCCAAAUUUCCUCUAGGUGGUGUAAAGGAUCAAAAAGAAAGGUAUGUUAAGAUAAGAUGUGUGUAUGUUUAAAUGUCUUUUUGUCCAAAUUUCUUCUAGGUGGCGUCGAAAGGACAGUAGGACAGGUAUGUUAAGAUAAGAUUGUGUGAAUGUUUAAAUGUCUUUUUGUCCACAUUUCUUCUAGGUGGCGUUGAAAGGACAGUAGGACAGGUAUGUUAAGAUAAGAUUGUGUGCAUGAAUGUAUGUCUUUUUGUCCAAAUUUCCUCUAGGUGGUGUAAAGGAUCAAAAAGAAUGGUAUGUUAAGAUAAGAUUGUGUGUAUGUUUAAAUGUCUUUUUGUCCAAAUUUCUUCUAGGUGGCAUCGAAAGGACAGUAGGACAGGUAUGUUAAGAUAAGAUUGUGUGCAUGAAUGUAUGUCUUUUUGUCCAAAUUUCCUCUAGGUGGUGUAAAGGAUAAAAAAGAAAGGUAUGUUAAGAUAAGAUUGUGUGCAUGUUUAAAUGUCUUUUUGUCCAAAUUUCUUCUAGGUGGCAUCGAAAGGACAGUAGGACAGGUAUGUUAAGAUAAGAUUGUGUGCAUGAAUGUAUGUCUUUUUGUCCAAAUUUCCUCUAGGUGGUGUAAAGGAUAAAAAAGAAAGGUAUGUUAAGAUAAGAUUGUGUGCAUGUUUAAAUGUCUUUUUGUCCAAAUUUCUUCUAGGUGGCGUUGAAAGGACAGGUAUGUUAAGAUAAGAUUGUGUGCAUGAAUGUAUGUCUUUUUGUCCAAAUUUCCUCUAGGUGGUGUAAAGGAUAAAAAAGAAAGGUAUGUUAAGAUAAGAUUGUGUGCAUGUUUAAAUGUCUUUUUGUCCAAAUUUCCUCUAGGUGGCGUUGAAAGGACAGGUAUGUUAAGAUAAGAUUGUGUGCAUGAAUGUAUGUCUUUUUGUCCAAAUUUCCUCUAGGUGGUGUAAAGGAUCAAAAAGAAAGGUAUGUUAAGAUAAGAUUGUGUGCAUGUUUAAAUGUCUUUUUGUCCAAAUUUCUUCUAGGUGGCGUCGAAAGGACAGGUAUGUUAAGAUAAGAUUGUGUGCAUGAAUGUGUCUUUUUGUCCAAAUUUCUUCUAGGUGUGUCGAAGGAUCAAACGACAGGUAUGUUAAGAUAAGAUUGUGUGCAUUUUUGUAUGUAUUUUUGUCCAAAUUUCCUCUAGGUGGUGUAAAGGAUCAAAAGGAAAGGUAUGUUAAGAUAAGAUUGUGUGCAUGUUUAAAUGUCUUUUUGUCCAAAUUUCUUCUAGGUGGCGUCAAAAGGACAGGUAUGUUAAGAUAAGAUUGUGUGCAUUUUUGUAUGUCUUUUUGUCCAAAUUUCCUCUAGGUGGCGUCAAAGGAUCAAAAGGACGGGUAUAUUAAGAUAAGAUUGUGUGCAUGAAUGUAUGUCAUUUUGUCCAAAUUUCCUCUAGGUGGUGUAAAGGAUCAAAAGGAAAGGUAUGUUAAGAUAAGAUUGUGUGCAUGUUUAAAUGUCUUUUUGUCCAAAUUUCUUCUAGGUGGCGUCGAAAGGACAGGUAUGUUAAGAUAAGAUUGUGUGCAUGAAUGUAUGUCUUUUUGUCCAAAUUUCCUCUAGGUGGUGUAAAGGAUCAAAAGGAAAGGUAUGUUAAGAUAAGAUUGUGUGCAUGUUUAAAUGUCUUUUUGUCCAAAUUUCCUCUAGGUGGCGUCAAAAGGACAGGUAUGUUAAGAUAAGAUUGUGUGCAUGAAUGUAUGUCCUUUUGUCCAAAUUUCCUCUAGGUGGCGUCAAAGGUACAGUAGGACAGGUAUGUUAAGAUAAGAUUGUGUGCAUUUUUGUAUGUUUUUUUGUCCAAAUUUCCUCUAGGUGGUGUAAAGGAUCAAAAGGACAGGUAUGUUAAGAUAAGAUUGUGUGCAUUUUUGUAUGUCUUUUUCUCCAAAUUUCUUCUAGGUGGCGUCAAAGGAUUAAAAAGAAAGGUAUGAUAAGAUAAGAUUGUGUGCAUGUUUAAAUGUCUUUUUGUCCAAAUUUCUUCUAGGUGGCGUCGAAAGGACAGGUAUGUUAAGAUAAGAUUGUGUGCAUUUUUGUAUGUCUUUUUCUCCAAAUUUCUUCUAGGUGGCUUCGAAAGGACAGGUAUGUUAAGAUAAGAUUGUGUGCAUGAAUGUAUGUUUUUUGUCCAAAUUUUCCUCUAGGUGGUGUAAAGGAUCAAAAAGAAAGGUAUGUUAAGAUAAGAUUGUGUGCAUGUUUAAAUGUCUUUUUGUCCAAAUUUCCUCUAGGUGGUGUAAAGGAUCAAAAGGAAAGGUAUGUUAAGAUAAGAUUGUGUGCAUGUUUAAAUGUCUUUUUGUCCAAAUUUCCUCUAGGUGGUGUAAAGGAUCAAAAGGAAAGGUAUGUUAAGAUAAGAUUGUGUGCAUGUUUAAAUGUCUUUUUGUCCAAAUUUCCUCUAGGUGGCGUCGAAAGGACAGGUAUGUUUAGAUAAGAUUGUGAAUGUAUGUCAUUUUGUCCAAAUUUCCUCUAGGUAGCGUAAAGGAUCAAAAGGACAGGUAUGUUGAGAUAAGAUUGUGUGCAUGUUAAUGUAUGUCUAUUUCUCCAAAUUUCCUCUAGGUGGCGUUGAAAGGACAGGUAUGUUAAGAUAAGAUUGUGUGCAUGAAUGUAUGACUUUUUGUUCAAAUUUCCUCUAGGUGGUGUAAAAGGUACAGUAGGAUAGGUAUAUGUUAAGAUAAGAUUGUGUGCAUUUUUGUAUGUUUUUUUGUCCAAAUUUCCUCUAGGUGGCGUCAAAGGAUCAAAAGGACAGGUAUGUUAAGAUAAGAUUGUGUGCAUGAAUGUAUGUCUUUUUGACCAAAUUUAUUAAGAUGAUUUAAGUUUGUAUUACAGAUGGAGGAGCCAAGAUGAAAGUCCAGUCCUAGACCUGAAGGAAAAUUGUUGUAUGUUAGGUGCCAGAUAAUGAUGAUGCAAAAAGAGCAUAUUAUAAGAUACAGAAAAUUUGGCCAUUGACACAGAUCUGGAAAGAAGCUUAAAGGAAGGACCAAGUUUCAGUCGAGAUGGCAGAUGAGUAGCAACUCCAUGGAAGAAGUUUACUUAGAUCUCCAACCAAGUCCAAGGAUUUUUCAUGUCAGCAAUCAAGCAGCAAGGAUAGCAGCUGGAAUGAAGAUUAAUUAUCACAUUGAUCUUCAAACAAGUCUGAGGCUUAGUCAUGAAAGAA
Long non-coding RNA from Mytilus trossulus (common blue mussel), 3651 nucleotides. RefSeq lists it as uncharacterized. The record is from RefSeq and is a predicted model, not a curated record. Lineage: Eukaryota; Metazoa; Mollusca; Bivalvia; Mytilida; Mytilidae. The transcript is spliced from 4 exons.